This 437-nucleotide ribosomal RNA is filed under the name uncultured bacterium. RNAcentral describes it as "partial 16S ribosomal RNA". It matches the Rfam family "Bacterial small subunit ribosomal RNA", at positions 341 to 792 of the family's 1533-position model. The record is from RNAcentral.
ACGGGAGGCAGCAGUGGGGAAUAUUGGGCAAUGGGCGAAAGCCUGACCUAGCAACGCCGCGUGAGGGAAGAAGGUUUUCGGAUUGUAAACCUCUGUCCAUGGUGACGAAGGAAGUGACGGUAGCCAAGGAGGAAGCCCCGGCUAACUACGUGCCAGCAGCCGCGGUAAUACGUAGGGGGCGAGCGUUGUCCGGAAUGACUGGGCGUAAAGGGCGCGUAGGUGGCUUUUUAAGUUAGAAGUGAAAGUCCUGCUUUUAAGGUGGGAAUUGCUUUUAAUACUGGAGAGCUUGAGUGCAGAAGAGGUAAGCGGAAUUCCCAGUGUAGCGGUGAAAUGCGUAGAGAUUGGGAAGAACACCAGUGGCGAAGGCGGCUUACUGGGCUGUAACUGACACUGAGGCGCGAAAGCGUGGGGAGCGAACAGGAUUAGAUACCCUGGUA